CGAUCGAACCCUAUGUAGGUUUCCUACAUAUCAUGUCCCUUAUAAAUCAGAUCAAACGUAGUUUUGGAAAAGUAAUGGAUAAAAUAAACUUAGAAACAAAAAUCUUUUUGAAUCUUUCAUUUAUAAUUUUUUUUGUUUUUUUUUCAAAUACAAAACAGGAAGUACUAUAACAAAAGACUCGAAAAUCUUAACUAGACUGACAGACUCGAUACUACUGUACAAGACUAAUAAUUAAAAGACAACAUAAAAUAGACUAAAAAAUAAAACGUUUCCUCAAGCAGCUCGUGCAUGUAAUGGUCUUGACUAGAAUGGUCCUGGGGUAUUUGUCAUGCUCGAGUCCUGGUACAUGGAUCCACACCUGAAUGAGAAAAAUAAGACCAAAUAGAUCAGUGACUCAAGACACUAUGCGACACCAUAACACCUCCUAUUGGACACACGCAAGACAUGACUGGGCUACUUUUGCAAAAUUAACCUAUGUGGCCAAUGAUGACUAUUAGUGCAAACUCAACAAAGGUGACCUCAAAGACGUGGAAAUACCUCACUAAGGCUUAAAUGGAUUCAACUCCCAUUUUAUGUUGGCCAGAAGUGACCCAUUUUGCAAAAACGAUCGAUAUGGCCAGAAGUGACUAAAGAUGCAAACUCAAUAAGGACGUGCCUUAAAGUAAUAUGACUCAUAGUUGUGAACUCAAGAUCCUAAGACAUAGGUAAUUGAACCACUUUAUGAAAAUGACCCCAUUUUGCAAGAAUGGCCGGUGUGGCCAAAAGUGGCUAGACGUGCGAUUUGGCUAAGACACCGCAAAGCUAAGAACAUAAGAUACUAGGAAGACCGGACCUUAUGUGGGUUGCCUACGUAUCUCGCCCCGAAAGUCGAGAAUCAGGUUCGCGUAGUUCAGGAAGAUUGGAUAUGGGAGAAAGCUUAAAAAUGACACUAAUUUGGAAAAAAUAUUUUUUUUUGUCUUUUUGGAAAAUGAUGGAAAAUGUAAAAUCUUUUAGAAUUUUUUCUUUCUCUUUUUUUUUUUUGAAUUUUUGGGAAAUAAUGGAAAAGUGUAAAAUAUUUUUGGAUUUUUUUUUUGAAUUUUUGGAAAAUAAUGGGAAAGUGUAAAAUCUUUUUGGAUUUUUAAAUUUUUUUUUUUUUGAAAAAGUAGUGAAAGAAAAAUAUAACUGGGCCCUACUUGCUUCUUCUAUCACCCUUCUUUCCCAAGCACCAAUCUGUCAAAUGACCUUUUUACCCUCAAAUAUGCAACAUGUAUCACAUAGGGAUGAUUGAAUGUAUUUUUGGGUCACGCGCCCAUUUUGAUAAAAUUUGGAUAGGCUUCCUACAAAGGGAUACGGUACCUGGGACCGAGCCCUGCUAGGUCUAAAUGAUAUGAUGCAAAUAAAAAUGACCUAAAGACUGACCUAAGUUUGGGGUUCACUAACAAGGCAAUUCGGGGGAGCGUAUGGUCGAUGGUGGCUGCUCAAGCUUUCCACCCACUCCAUACGUCCGAUGCCCCCCCCCUAAAUUAAGGGUGACUUUCGUGCACGCGACGCGUACUCCGAGACUUGUUGUAGAAAGAAGACCCAUGAUUAUGCAAAUGAUGACAGUUUAUAAAGCAGUAACACGUUAAGAAAAGCAAUAAACAAAUAACCAACAAAACAAGGAAAUAAGACAAACAAAGCAAACAAAGAAAACAAACACCUCAAUCGAAUAUCCUAAAAGCCAACAAGAUCAAGUACGAACAUGCAAGUCCCAAGCAGAGUCGCCAGAGCUGUCACACCCCUUUUUUAACCAAUUUCACUAACCCUCUUAAAUUAAUAAAAAGAUUUGUAAAACUCAAAAGGGUUUUUAAUUAAAAAGUGACAAAAUUGUGUUCAAAAGAAAAUAACUCAGAGUUGCUACCUGACUUUGAUUUAAGUGUGUCAGGUCAACGUUUUUUUUAAAAAUAAUUUCUCUUUUAAAACACUUCGGACUCCAAACUAAGUCUACACCAGAGAUUUGGAUAAGGAGAUUCAUUUGACUCGGGGAGAAGGUGUUAGGUAUUCCCCAAGUCCCGUAACUAGUACGGUUGCACACUCAAUCUUGUUGGCUUUAAAGGAUAUUUCUAAUUGAGGUAAAAGCACAUAAAAAAAAUAAACAAUCAAAAGGAAGUUCAAGGUUGUCCCCACCCAAUAAAAUAAAACAAGAAUAAUAGUACUACGGGUUUUGCUCUCGGCCUCCAAAUACAAAUACUUCGGGGUAUACCCGGAUAAAAUAUAUAUACAAAUCCUUCAAGUCAUUUCCCGGAUAAAUUUAACUAAGGGAACGACCUCUCACCUCAAAACUAACAAAAUCCUAAGGCUUGCUUAUCCAAAUGAUGUCGGCCUAUGCAUGCUCCCGGCGAAAAUGUAAUAAAGCAAUUCUUACUUUUAAUUCCCGAACCCCACGACACACUUUGAUACUCUAAAAUUUUGCAUAGAUGUUUUACGUCAUUUUUUAAGUUACACUCUAGCGAAUACUCUUUAUGUUAUAAUAGCACCCAACACUUAAUUCAAACAAGUUGUAAUUUAAGACUCUAAAUCUUAUUGUAGAACUCAAACCAAACAAACAGAAACAUUUUUCACAUCUGGCAUGAAAGUCAACAGAGAAUUCAUAACAAGCAAUUCAACACUAAGUUAUUGAAAUAUCAACUAAAAGAAGUGGGAUGAGAUCAGACCUUGAUAACAAGAAAACAGAAAUAGUUUCGAACAAAGAACCGCGACCAAGAUUCGACAACGGACCUUGAAUUGGUACCGAAAAACUCGAAACCCAAAUACGACCUCAAUCAAACUCCAUGAGCCGAGAUCAAAACAGAAGUCGAAAUUUUCUGUAUGAGUGAACUCAAACAGAAGCUUAGAAGAACAAAAUCAGAUUCAAAAUCAAAACGCCCCGUCUUCUUUUCCUCCGUUCUAUUUUGCUGCUACUGUCCCGUCCGUUCCUCUUUUUAUUUCAUCUAUGUGUCGUGUGUGGCAGAAGCGUGGAGGCCGAAGGUGGAAAUGGCUGGGCCGUUUUUAUCUUUGGAGAGGAGGAGGUUUUAGGUUGUUUGGCUGAUAUUUCGGCGAUUUUGAGAGAUGAAGAAGAUGGGGUCGCGGCAGAAGCUUAGUGGUGAGAGUGUGGUGGUCGGCGGGUCUGGUGAGGUGAAAGGCGGCUGUGUUCGAAGUUCAGGGGUGGUCUGGUUGGUUUCCGGCGGGUCUUGGGCGGCGACGGUGAGCAGCUCGUGGUGUUAGGUUGUUGAUGUUCAGAAGAAGAAGAAGGUUCCCCUAGGGUUUUUUGGUCUUGUUUCCAAUAGGGUUCAGCUAGGGUGUAGAAGAAGAUCUUUUGGGUUAGGGUGUAAGGGUUUAGGAGGAAUGGGAAGUGGGUUAAAGCCCGUUUGGGUUAGCUGAAUUUAAGUAGCUUUUAAGCAGUAAAUACUUAAAAGCACUUUUUAAGUGUUGGAGCUGAAUUUAUAAUUAAUCAGUUACAUAUUUGGAUAAAAG
Molecule: long non-coding RNA, 3471 nt
Filed under: Nicotiana tabacum (common tobacco)
Lineage: Eukaryota; Viridiplantae; Streptophyta; Magnoliopsida; Solanales; Solanaceae
Description: long non-coding RNA (NTAB_LNC014469)
Source: RNAcentral